Molecule: ribosomal RNA, 440 nt
Filed under: uncultured bacterium
Lineage: Bacteria
Description: partial 16S ribosomal RNA
Rfam family: Bacterial small subunit ribosomal RNA
Source: RNAcentral
CCUACGGUGGCUGCAGUGGGGAAUAUUGCACAAUGGGGGAAACCCUGAUGCAGCGACGCCGCGUGAGUGAAGAAGUAUUUCGGUAUGUAAAGCUCUAUCAGCAGGAACGAGACAAGACGGUACCUGACUAAGAAGCCCCGGCUAACUACGUGCCAGCAGCCGCGGUAAUACGUAGGGGGCAAGCGUUAUCCGGAAUCACUGGGUGUAAAGGGAGCGUAGACGGGUGUGCAAGCCUGAAGUGAAAGGCGGGGGCCCAACCCCCGGACUGCUUUGGGAACUGUACGGCUGGAGUGCAGGAGAGGUAAGUGGAAUUCGUGGUGUAGCGGUGAAAUGCGUAGAUAUUAGGAGGAACACCAGUGGCGAAGGCGGUUUACUGGACUGUAACUGACGUUGAGGCUCGAAAGCGUGGGGAGCAAACAGGAUUAGAUACCCGGGUAGUC